Molecule: microRNA precursor, 87 nt
Organism: Cavia aperea (Brazilian guinea pig)
Lineage: Eukaryota; Metazoa; Chordata; Mammalia; Rodentia; Caviidae
Source: Ensembl
GGGAGUUUUCCAGCAAGUUGGCCUCCCCAGCACUUGGGGGGCAGAAGGCAGGGGCUGGGGCUCCAGCAUUCAGGGCACAACUGGCCU